GAAGGCUCAUUAAGUCCUGUCAGGGACGAGGCAGCAGUAGAGAAUAUUGUGCAAUAUACGGCAGUAUGACACAGAGAGCACACGCCCUCUUGGCCUGUCCAACUAAGUGCCAGCAGACGCGGUUAGACUUAGGGGCCAAGCCUUUAUGAGCAAAGGGGCGUAAAGGGUGUGUAGGCCGACCGCCCCACCCCCCCCAAGGUGGUAAAUGGAAUUUUUCUGUAGCGGUAGAAUGUGCGGAUAGAAAAUAGAACCCCAAAAGCUGAAGCAAUUUACCGCGGGGCGGGAGGGGGGGCCCCCUGGGGCGCCCCCCCGGGCUACGGGCUGAAACACGAGGGUGUGGGGAACAAACAGGAUUAGAGACCCUGGUAGUCCACACUGUAAACGAUGGAGAAAAUGCGAAUGCAGCCCCGAAAGGCAGCAAUCUCCCGCCUGAGUAGUACGAUCGCAAGAUUAAAAUUCCAAAAAUUUGGCUGUUCACCGUUUCGAUUAGAGGAGCGUGUAGUUUAAUUCGAUAAACCGCGAGAUACCUUACCCAAACUUGAAUCCUUGAGGAUUCCAAGGAAUCCUUAUGGACCGGUAUUGCAUGGCCGUCGUCAGUUCGUGUAUGAAACCUUAAACGGACCCAACCCGAGGAUUAGCCGCGGAUGAAGUCAGGUCUUAUGGUCCCAAUGUUUGGGGAUAAUAUGCGCUACAUUUUCUUAUACAAUGGGAAACCUGGGAGGUGAAACCCAAAAGUGAGAGUUCGGUAGGCUAUUGGAAGAUGGCCGAAAGUUGAAUUUAAUAGUAAUCGGAAAGUAUAGCGUUCCGGUGAAAUGAUCUAGGUGUUAGCACAAAUCGCCCGUCACCUUAACUUAGGAUGAUGGUUCGGACGCCGCCGCGCCCCCCCGGGCCCCGGCGGUUACGGCCCUACGAAGUUAAGCA
RNAcentral lists this ribosomal RNA (921 nucleotides) under Palythoa aff. mutuki TDS-2010. RNAcentral describes it as "partial 12S ribosomal RNA". It matches the Rfam family "Bacterial small subunit ribosomal RNA", at positions 316 to 1483 of the family's 1533-position model. Lineage: Eukaryota; Metazoa; Cnidaria; Anthozoa; Zoantharia; Sphenopidae. The record is from RNAcentral.